GACGAACGCUGGCGGCGUGCUUAACACAUGCAAGUCGAACGGAAAGGCCCUGCUUUUGUGGGGUGCUCGAGUGGCGAACGGGUGAGUAACACGUGAGUAACCUGCCCUUGACUUUGGGAUAACUUCAGGAAACUGGGGCUAAUACCGGAUAGGAGCUCCUGCUGCAUGGUGGGGGUUGGAAAGUUUCGGCGGUUGGGGAUGGACUCUCGGCUUAUCAGCUUGUUGGUGGGGUAGUGGCUUACCAAGGCUUUGACGGGUAGCCGGCCUGAGAGGGUGACCGGCCACAUUGGGACUGAGAUACGGCCCAGACUCCUACGGGAGGCAGCAGUGGGGAAUAUUGCACAAUGGGCGGAAGCCUGAUGCAGCAACGCCGCGUGCGUGAUGACGGCCUUCGGGUUGUAAACCGCUUUCGCCUGUGACGAAGCGUGAGUGACGGUAAUGGGUAAAGAAGCACCGGCUAACUACGUG
Molecule: ribosomal RNA, 468 nt
Filed under: uncultured bacterium
Lineage: Bacteria
Description: partial 16S ribosomal RNA
Rfam family: Bacterial small subunit ribosomal RNA
Source: RNAcentral